CGGGGUAUAGCGCAGCCCGGUAGCGCGCUUCGUUCGGGACGAAGAGGUCGUGAGUUCAAAUCUCGCUACCCCGA
This 74-nucleotide transfer RNA is filed under the name Bacteroidales bacterium. RNAcentral's name for it is "tRNA-Pro". It matches the Rfam family "tRNA". From Rfam's summary of the family: Transfer RNA (tRNA) molecules are approximately 80 nucleotides in length. Their secondary structure includes four short double-helical elements and three loops (D, anti-codon, and T loops). Lineage: Bacteria; Pseudomonadati; Bacteroidota; Bacteroidia; Bacteroidales. The record is from RNAcentral.